AUUAUUGUGCUUGCAACUUUACUAAAAUUGCAGGAUGUGAUUUUUCUUUUGUAGCUCCAGUUACCUUACAUGAACUUUUAGAAUCCAAUCUCACGUUGAUUCACAAGCUACUGCCUACUCCCAUUGGGAUGAACCUUACUUUGGUAAAGCAACUAUUACUUCAUCAAGAUCUAAUAGAGAUCCUAGGAAAAAUCAAGGAGAAUGGACAGAAAACUCUGUCCUGAAGACUCCGCGACGACACCAUGGAACCCUGCUGAUGAAGAUCUUUCGAGGGCAAUCGUCAGUCACGGGGUGGUGUAAGAGCCCGUCUGAAGCCCCUCAUUUUCCAUUCUGCCUUCCGAUUGCCACGAGAAAGAAUCCCUUCCUCCACUGCAGUUCCGGCUUAGAACAGGACACAGCGCAGGUGCAACCACUGAACCGUCAUGCUAGCUGUUCCGAACAAGGCCUGGCAAGAACUCGGCAAGGACUUGGCAAAGACCUGACGUGGACCCAGCACGGGACAGCCCGAUGCGCGGCCUGCUUCUAAUCUCCGUUCUUAAGCCAAAUGAACUUUUGGGGUGACUCCCGGGGUCCUUCAUUGAAGACCCCUCAUCUGCCUCGUUACCACUGUGACAAACAAAGAAUGAGAACCCGCCUCCCAAGGACUGAGACUGAGACCCCUGCUAUAGGGAGGAGGGGAAAUUGGUGGUCUGACCACUAAUGACACGACCUGUUUCCCUUCAGUGAUUCAAAUGGACUUAUUCUUCAUUGGAUUCAUCUUGCUUUGGUGGUUUCUGUGGACUCAGCUGUUCCCGCGUGGCGAUUACAAUGGACUUUCGUUGUUACACUUGCUCCCCCCUCUUUCCUCUGUGGACUAUAACUGGAGCCCCGAGUCGACCAGAACUUCGGAGACUCCCCCGACACGACAGACGGAUCCCCAUCGUCCGGACCACUGAGGAUCUCGCCUGUGUUGGUAGCUAUUCCCAUACCCCUCUUCUCUCUCUCUCUCUCCUUUUAUCUCCUUUCCGAUCCCCACUAUCGCAUUUACUGUUUUGGCCCCUAAUAAAGGUGCAUUUGUUGUGAUUAA
Vidua chalybeata is the source of this 1066-nucleotide long non-coding RNA. RefSeq lists it as uncharacterized. Lineage: Eukaryota; Metazoa; Chordata; Aves; Passeriformes; Viduidae. The transcript is spliced from 2 exons. The record is from RefSeq and is a predicted model, not a curated record.